UUUCUCUUCUUCACUGUUAGAGAAAAUCAUAGCUAGGGUUGUCUCGCUCGACUCUUCUUCCUUCUGUUGCGCUGCUUCAGUUCGAAAAACAGAGAGCUAGGGUUGCACCGCUCCUUCUACAGGUAAUUUCUUCUUCUUCUUCAGAGAUAGUUUUUCUUUUUGUUCUUUCUUCUGUCAGUCCAGUCUUUUUCUUUUUUGUCUUUCUUUUCUCUUCUUUUUCAUGUUUAUAUAUAUUCAAUUUAUUGAUUAUGUUUUUCUUAUCUCUUAUCAGGGAUAUUUUUAAUUUGUGGAUGAUUUGGUGGUACUUUUAAGUAUUUAAAUUGAAGUUUUUGAUUAUUGAUAAAAUAUUAUUUCUUUACAAGGUUUAUAUUAUAUUUUUAAGAAUUGCGCUUCACUUUAAUAAAGCGUGCGCUUCGCUUUGCGCUUUGCGUUUGAAGCGAGACAAACCCCUGUCGUUAUUUUGCGCUUAGCAGCGCUCUCAAAAACAUUGGUGUGUACUGAGAUUUGUAGGGAAAGAGAUCAAAGUUUGCAUGAAAAUCACGUGUUGAUUCUUAGAAUCUAAUUAUAUAAUUUAUGGUGCUCAGCAACAGUCAAUGUGGUAUUUAGUGAAUUAGAUCAAGUGACAACUGAUAUUAUUUCAAUUUAAUAAUUGAAUUUGAAAAAUGUGAGGAAAAAAAUAAAAGGUAUAUUAUACUAGUUAUACUAAAAAAGGUGAACAAAUAUUUACAAUAACAAUUAUUUUUUCCUAUUGUACAAAAAAAGAAUAAUAAAAAAUGGUAAAAAUAGUAAAUAAAAUUAGAUUAUGAAGAGAAAAAGAAUAUAAAAAAAGAGUUAAAUGAAAUUAGAAAAGGAAAAAAGAAACAAUAAGAAGAAAACGAGAAAAAAGAAAAAGAGAAAAGAAAGAAGAAAAGGAAAAUAGAAAAAGAAAAGAAUUGGCAAAAAAAAAUUCCCCACAAAAACUGCUAUAGGUAGGAAAUGUAAUUAGUUUGAUGGGUAAAAAAAUAAAUGGGUAGACAAGGGUAAAUAGUUUUGUUCCAACUUUGUCAUUCUCCGUUUAAUUAAUUAAUAUAUAUUCUUGCCAAAAUCUACUGCUUUGACCCGAAUAAAUUGACAUGUUUUUUUGCAUAUAAGUAGACCCAAUAUGCAUUUGCUGAAUUUCCAGUAUGACAAACAAGACAACUUAAAUUGGUGGGAAUUUUCCCCCAUAAUCCUGAUUUCAAAGUUCGACUCCCUGUUACCAAUAUCAACUCAACUACCCAUUCCACCCCCAAAGGAAAAUGAAGAGACAAAACAAGAAAACCAAUUUACAUUCCAUUAAUUCUUCAUAUUUCAAAUAACAAAAAGCUCCCUAGUAAAAGAAAUCUUCUUCUCGCAUAUAACUAACUAGUUGAGACAACAUAUGAUAUAAGGAAAAGAAAAGUAAAAAUAAAUCUCAAUAUUCGAUCAUCUGACUGCACUUUAGAAAAGAAUGAACAGAGCAACCCAUACACUUCAAGUAGACAAAGGAAACACCCUGUAGGUGCAGUCUAUCUAGUAAGGCCACCAGUCUGGCUUCGUCACCAUGAUCUGAUUAUACUCCGGCCUUGAAGUCUGGGAAAAGAAGAAAGAACACAAAUUCUAAACACAAAGAGUUACUCACCUGGGAAAAUGCAUAUCAAUCUUGCAUAAGCAAAGAAAUAUUUGUAACUAAUGAGUACAUAUUCUUUCAUGAUUUUGAAUCUCAGUUACAGGACCAAUGGGAUUUCAAUGAGAUUAUCAACAGAAAAGCUGUGUCUAAUUGACAUUGAAACUCUUCCAUACUUUUAAAUCACAAUGCUCUCCUUUUUGUUCCCUUCUUUUUGACAAGUAUCUCAGUACUUGCUUCCUUUUAUGUCCCCUAAACAAAAAGAGCCAGGAUGCCGCAUAAACUAAUAUUCAAGACCAUCAGCAGCCUAACUUCAUGUAGCAAGAAACAAGCACAUAAUUCUGAAAUCAUUGCAACACUGACCAUCAGAUUGUUGUGUCUCAAAGACACAGUUUGAGUACUCUGCUUUUCUUGUUCUAGAGGGUGGAUGAAGUCGCAAGUUAGAGUUUCGGGAAAGCCGGUCAAAAUGGAAAACAGAAAAAGUGGAAUAUCAUAAAUUCCCACUUUCCUAAUAAUAAUGUUCUCUAAUGACAAUCUUUUUUAUUUCAUUUGGGAUACACUGACAAGACAAGAGGGGUUGCUCUGAUGGUAAGCAACCCCCACUUCCAACCGAGAGGUUGUGAGUUCGAGUCUCCCCAACAUAAUUCUAAAAGGUCUUCUGACAUCUUUGUUUCUAAAGAUGAUAUGUUUGAGUAGAGUUGUUCUCGUGUUCGUCCAUGUCAAACACAAAACUCAUGUUAAUUCCAACCGAUGUGGGAAUCAAAAAAAUGGUAACAUGAUCAAAGAAGCAGGAAGCUAAACUUGAUCAGAAGGACCUCAUCUCACCACAUACAAUCUUGAGUGCAUGUUUUCUGCUAACAUGGGCAUAUAUAAGAGCAGACAAACUGCAGUGGUACUAUAUUGUAUUUUUUUCCACUUAGACAUUUUUAGUUUCUCCCUCUAUUUCCCUCUCGGGCUGUCACUUUGGCAGUCUCUGUUGAGAAGACAGACUGCAAACCCUUCAGCAAACCCCACCCCCUGGCCCCUGUCCCACAAAAAAAGACUUCCUUCUCAAAUUUCGCUCUUCUUGAAUAAUGUAAAGUAAACGACCACAUAGAAAACUUAAUAAUGGCUACAACCGUUUCCCAUUCGUUUUGCAGCUCCUACUCGAUGUUUACGGAUAUGAACAAUCGGUUUAAUCUGAUAGAGGAAAUAAAUAGUGUCUGGAAGUGACUAUAAGUUGAACUGGCAAGAAAACUAAUUUAGCUCCAUUGGUUAAUUAAAGCCAUUUAUUAUGAGAUAGCUGCAGUUGAAGGGGUAAUCCGCCUGAAGUAAGAUAAGGUAAAGCUAUAUCAACAAAAACUUGAACAACUUUGCACAACUAUAAGUCAUGUUUUCCAUUCCUGAUGUUGUGUUUCUCAAUGUUGAGCCCUCAUAUUAUGUUAUCCACGUUCCAGUUGUCCGGUCGUGGGUGUGAGUGUUUCUUUUGUGGAGGUGGGGGUUGGUGUGGGGGUNNNNNNNNNNNNNNNNNNNNNNNNNNNNNNNNNNNNNNNNNNNNNNNNNNNNNNNNNNNNNNNNNNNNNNNNNNNNNNNNNNNNNNNNNNNNNNNNNNNNNNNNNNNNNGGGGGGAGGGAGGGUGUUAAAGUCUCACAUUGGUUAAGGGAAUGGGUUGUGGUCUCCUUAUAUAAUUUUGGACAAUCUUCCUCUCAUAAGUUAGCUUUUGGGGUUGAGUUAGGCCCAAUGGCCAUAAUUUUAUAGGAAUCAUGGAUUCAUUCAACUUGCUUUCGUGAACUCUGUAAUGCUUCUUAAUCUGCUUCACCUAUCUUCUUAUGCCCUUAUUCAAAGCAUUUUCGCAACUACAUGCCUAGGAUUAUCCAAUCUAGGGAAAUUACAGUCUUGGGAUCUAGAAAGUUAAACGGGUGCCGGCAAAUCUUUAAGGGCGAAAACUUUACUACCUUGGAUCCAGAAGCUCACAAUUGCUCCUGCUAUCUAUUUUGUUCUGUCUAGAAAACAUUACAAGAAACAGUUCCCCCACUGAUGCUUUGAAUGCUAAAAUUGCUCGAACCGCAAAGAAGAAAAGUUGCAAAUUGUCAUGGCAUUUUUAACAAGAGGAAGCACUGACAUAGCUUGGGUUUUUCCGUCCUACUAUUUUAACCCCCUUUUAUUAUUUAUGAAUGACGAUGACAUCCAUGCCAGCUUAGGCACAUGAGUAAUCAAGCAGGCAGUGCUGCAUCAUAGGUGGCAGGUAGAUCUAACCAUCAAAGUUGGAGCCGAGUGCUCAUACUGAGUUGUAGCUGGGAUUUGAAACCAUUCAUCAUGCUAUUUUGCUACAAUAUAUAGGGAAAAAAUCUAAAUUUACAGCUCUACUAUAGGAAAAUCUUAUAUGUUAUACUUUUGGGUCAUUCAUACUCUUACCUUGGCAAAUCGAUAAGGUAUUUGCCAUUAACCUCAAUGGAGAACCACUCAUCACGCUAUUUUACUACUAGCGGGAGGCCAUUUCCUUCUUUUUGAUUGUUUCACCAGCUAUACCACUUUUGUUUUCUCUACCCAUGCCAUAUGUACCAAUUAUUAGCUGAGCGUCUACACAAAAUGACGUAUUUACCUUUACAAGGUAGGGAUAUGCGCCUGACCCCACUUGUGAGAAUAUAUUGGGUAUGUUGUUGUUCUCGCCAUAUGUACCAAUUGUACCAAUUGACAGAAUUACCACAAAUCACGACAAUCAUAAUUACAUAAAUAGGCUUAUCAAUAGAAAUAAAAAUAAAAGCACAAAAAAAGUGUUAAUAAAUGGAGAGGAGGCUAACCAGAUCCUUGAAAAUGACAAAAGCUACAACGAAGAAGAGGACGAAGAGAAUCUCGAACUCAGCUAAACGGACGAAAUCGAAUACAGAGUCUAUAGCUUGAGUCAAGAUCGACGGCGACGGUAAAUCGUCCCUUCUUCCACUUCUCCCUACCCUCUUUCCCAUUCUCUCUUUCCUUAAUUUUCCACAGAGAGGAAAUGGAUGAAUGCAAAAGCGCAGCCUUUCAAUUUGGUAACGUGACUUUUGAGACAAGUUAAAUCACUAUUCUCCGUGUAUUUAAUGAGAAUGUUUAGGGCUAAUUUGUAAUUUCUCAUUUACACUCCGAGCUGAAUAUAUAUAUAUCACUAAUCGUUUGUUGUCACACAUUUCUAUAACAACACAGAUAACAGUCAUUAGCUAUAAAAAUUAUUUUUUUAAACUAAUUUUUUAAAUUAUAUUUACCUCUCUAUAAUAACUUUUUACCUAUAACAAUAACAAUCAUAUUUAUAGUAAAAUAUUCUUUGUAAAUUAUUCCUCUAUAAUAGCUAUAUAAAAUCUUUGAGAUUACUAAUAACAAUUCUAAAAAUAUACACACAAUCUUUUUCAUUUAACAAAGUUUUUAUCUCGCAUAAGAUAUAAGAUUUGAAAAUCUGCACAAGAUAUGUUUUUAUUGAAUAUCUUUUUGCUGAAAUUUUGACGCGAAUCUUUGUCAAUUCAAGCAUUAUAUCGGUAGUAAGAGAAUGAAAUAUAUCAAAAAAUCUACAAUUUCAAAGUUCUUCCGUCAAUUUCGAAAGAAUUUAUUUUCCUAGUAGCUUUAAAAUGUAUGCCUUAGAGUUUAAUUCUUUGUACGUUUAGUUAAUAUAACAACAACGAAUUCGCAGUAUUCCCAUAAAUGGGGUAUAGGGAAUAUGUUUAGUUAAUGAACUCAUUAAUGAUGCGUUAGCUUUCUUCAGUAUAUACCUAGUGAAAUAUGCAUAUCUUAAGAGAUUUUAAAUUUAAAGAAUUUUUUUAUUUUAUAUGAGACAAGAGGGGUUGCUCUGAUGGUAAGCAACCCCCACUUCCAACCGAGAGGUUGUGNNNNNNNNNNNNNNNNNNNNNNNNNNNNNNNNNNNNNNNNNNNNNNNNNNNNNNNNNNNNNNNNNNNNNNNNNNNNNNNNNNNNNNNNNNNNNNNNNNNNNNNNNNNNNNNNNNNNNNNNNNNNNNNNNNNNNNNNNNNNNNNNNNNNNNNNNNNNNNNNNNNNNNNNNNNNNNNNNNNNNNNNNNNNNNNNNNNNNNNNNNNNNNNNNNNNNNNNNNNNNNNNNNNNNNNNNNNNNNNNNNNNNNNNNNNNNNNNNNNNNNNNNNNNNNNNNNNNNNNNNNNNNNNNNNNNNNNNNNNCCCUAAGAGCAAGGUGGGAAGUUCUUGGAGGGAAGGAUGCCGGGGGUCUAUUUGGAAACAGCCUCUUUACCCAAAGGUAGGGGUAAGGUCUGCGUAUAUACGACUCUCCCCAGACCCCACUAAGUGGGAUUAUACUGGGUUGUUGUUGUUGUUUCUUAUCUUUUAUAUGUAACAUUAAAAAAACAGAAAAGGGUUUAAAAUUCCAUUAAAUUAUUGAAAAAAGUUUAAGAAUAUCCUUCAUCUACCUAUUGGGCUAAAAAUUCAUAUCCAUUCACCUUUUUGGUUCACUUAUGCCCACCGUUAGGUCAAUGCUGAAUUAAAAAUAAUAAUUAUUGAAAUUUCAGGUAGCAACUUCUUAUUGGCUAAAAUUAAAACAUCUAACUCAUUAGAAAGACCCACCCGUAUCUACCAGUUUUUCAUACUCACCAGCUUCAAAUACUAAUCCAACCUGAACAGAAGGUUCAACUAAAAAAAAGAGCCCCACUUCUAUGAAACACCAUGGAUCAAAAGCUUCAUGGAAGUUGCGCGAACAUAUAGACACAAAUUUAUUACGUGAAUUUCUUUUUCUUGUUAUGACAUCCAGUUCAAUUUAUAUGAUGACACAAAUUGCAUUAUAUUCAAGAUGAGUUUAAUUUAAUCAUUUUCACAUAACGGAAAGAUUUUAAAGUGAUUGUUUGGAACAUAUCAUAAACCAUUGGACUACCGCUAGUUUUCCAUCCCACAUUAUUGUCAAGAAAAUCAUUGGCUCAUUCAUGCUGGUGUUUUCUUAUUUGUUUAAUUUGGUCAUGAACCUUUAUUCGAUACAAUAAUAUACAUGAGGUUAAUCAAGAAAAUGAACACAUGUAAAUCCAUGGGUUAGAAGGAAGUGAGGCUUUUUUUUUUAUUUGAACUUUUUAUUCGGGUCAUAUUCGGCGCGGGUUAGUCCAAAAACAGGUAGAUAUGAGUGUGUCUUUCUAAUAUGUUAGAUGUUUUAAUUUCGGCCAAUAAGAAAUUGUCAUGUGGAAUUUAAAUAACUAUUUUUUAAAUUAAGCAUUGACCUAACGGUCAAAUGGCAUAAGUGAACUAAAAAGGUGGAUAGAGAGGUAUUUUUAGACCAAUAGGUGGAUGAAAGGUAUUUCUAAACCUUUAUCAAUAGUUCAAAGCCAUUUUUGACCCUUCUCCAUUUAAAAAAAGAAAAGAAAAAUGAUUGAUUUUUGGAUAAGUUUGAUCUAUAACAACCAAAAAAUAUUUAAACGUCAAAUACUGUUAUAGGUUUAUAACAACCAUUCAUUAUAAAAGUCAAAAAAUUUUGGAACAAACUACGCUAUUAUAGAGAGGUUUGAUUGUAUAUAUGUUAUGAAUUUGUUUACUGUUUUGUCCAUUAGGCACCGCUUGAUAUGCACACUAAAUUAUAUUAGGAUUAUAACUUUGAGAUUGUAAUCCCUGAACUAAUGUGAUAAAAUAAUUUCAAGUUUAAUGGGAUAGGAUGAGACAUCUAAGAUUAAAUUUUGGAUUAAAUUUUAUAUUAUAUGUGACCGAUGAUAUAAAUUUAUCCUGGAAUAAAUUAAUACCGUCAAUUAAGUACAGUAUAAAUUUAGAAUUACACACCUUAUUUUACCUUAUGGAGUUACUUUGUCAAAUCAAUAUUCAAUUUAAUAAAGAAAAAUGAUUAAUAUACAAAAAUCCUCUGAAUUGUUCACCUCUUGUAACUUAUUAAAUACAUUAUGAUUUAUUGUUAUUAAUUAUUAUCUCUUUGAACUAUAAUGUUCCAUAUUUAAAAUUCCAAACGAUGGUUUGACUCUCCCUAAGGUGGUGGAAACUUUGAAAGGAUUUUAAAGUUCAGCAAAUUUUAACAAAUUUUAAACAAAACAUGUUGUUUCUUCAGAUCUGUUUAGCUUUGCCAAAGCUUCAUUUUGGAGCCGAAGGUCUGAAAAUUGAAAGCCAAAAUUCAAAUUCAGACCUAAAGCUUGAAUCUAAACUGCCAGAAUCCAACUUCAGUCUUAUAGGUUUCAAUUUGAAAACUUCAGAUAUACAUAAAUUUUUUGGCAUUCAAGGAAUUUUUGCCUCCUGUAGCAAAUGUUAAUAUUUUAUUUAUUUUAAAUAAAUAUCCUUUUAAAAAAUUAUAUUAUAUAGAUACCUUUUGAUUUUUAUAGCCAUUAUUUAUUUAUGGUUACCUUCUGUUCUUAAGCAAUAAAAUACUCUUUGUAUUAUUUUUUUGUCUCAUUCUUCUAGAUUUUUCUCCACCAUCUCUCUCAACACGCUGGUAUCUCUCCCUCAACCGCAACGGAAAUUCAUAUCAAAACUGAAGACGAUUCAUGUACUUUAAAUGAAUGAAAACCAAAGAAUUGCCCUCCUCUGUUUUCAUGAUUGUUUGCAAGUCAGCAUCUUCUUCUUUGAGUUCUACUUUGGCAUAAAUAAUCGGGAUCCUUUAAGGAUCGUGAUUCAAACAACUAGAACUGAAAAUAAAUAAAGAAAAAGAUAGCAGGGAUAUGUGGAAUUUGAGGAAAUUGAUGAAGCAACACAAAUUCAGAAGACCCGUUCUAGCCGCUUUGCUGCAUAUUGCUUGAAUAGAUCCAUUAGGGCUUUAUGGUUUUUCAUGUAAUUCAAUGAAUUUUAUGUACUUCGUCG
RNAcentral lists this long non-coding RNA (8363 nucleotides) under Nicotiana benthamiana. RNAcentral's name for it is "long non-coding RNA (NBEN_LNC026854)". Lineage: Eukaryota; Viridiplantae; Streptophyta; Magnoliopsida; Solanales; Solanaceae. The record is from RNAcentral.